UCGGGAAUUUUGGGCAAUGGGCGAAAGCCUGACCCAGCAACGCCGCGUGAAGGAUGAAGUAUUUCGGUAUGUAAACUUCGAAAGAAUAGGAAGAAUAAAUGACGGUACUAUUUAUAAGGUCCGGCUAACUACGUGCCAGCAGCCGCGGUAAUACGUAGGGACCAAGCGUUGUUCAGAUUUACUGGGCGUAAAGGGCGCGUAGGCGGCAAUUCAAGUCAUCUGUGAAAUCUCCGGGCUUAACUCGGAACGGUCAGAUGAUACUGCUUUGCUAGAGUGCAGAAGGGGCAAUCGGAAUUCUUGGUGUAGCGGUGAAAUGCGUAGAUAUCAAGAGGAACACCUGAGGUGAAGACGGGUUGCUGGGCUGACACUGACGCUGAGGCGCGAAAGCCAGGGGAGCAAACAGGAUUAGAUACCCGCGUAGUCCCUGAGCGGGCUGGCAAGGCGCAU
RNAcentral lists this ribosomal RNA (447 nucleotides) under uncultured bacterium. RNAcentral's name for it is "bacterial SSU rRNA". It matches the Rfam family "Bacterial small subunit ribosomal RNA", at positions 355 to 825 of the family's 1533-position model. The record is from RNAcentral.